GCCAUAUGCCAGUUUGUGAAUACAAUUGUGGGGAAAAAACAAGACAACGUAAGUUAAUUAAAACCCUCUCCAUUUAUUUGAAUGGCUUUUAAGAAGCAGAAGCACAUGUGGUAAAAUUAAGGUAUAGGACAUGCAUGAGAAGUGACAGGGACCCACACUGGCAAGCACUCAGCACCCUUUAUCAUGUGACCAGGUAAAUGUUACAAAGAGCCAGACAGGUCUGGAUCGAUGGGGUGUGCUACUAGUAGGCCAAAGAGGGCAAAGCUGGGAGAAGUACAAGCAGUCUUAUUCCCAGACAAGGGAAGUCACAAAGACGAAGAAACACAUGCUCUAACCAUUUACGGAGGCACUUAGGUUUAUCAUAACAAGCAACCCAGAGAGGUUGGGUGAUGAGGAAGACUGAGGCAGCAAAUGCUAUCAAAGCAAAGGGCUUCUGACAGGUAGAUACAAGCACAUUAUGCACACAGGUUUCAUUUUUCAUCGUAUUCUAUAUCGGAGGUUAUUGAGAUGCUCUUAAGUAGAAACCAGAAGUUAAGUAUAUGUGCGCUAUUACAUUAAUAAAGAAGUUCGUAGGCCGAGUGUGGUGGCUCACGCCUGUAAUCCCAUCAAAGUUUCUUUACAAAAACAGGUGAUGGGUCAGAUUUGGCCCGUGGGCCCAGAGUUUGCCAAACUCUGCAUUAGCCCAAAA
Molecule: long non-coding RNA, 688 nt
Filed under: Homo sapiens (human)
Lineage: Eukaryota; Metazoa; Chordata; Mammalia; Primates; Hominidae
Description: HSALNT0291579
Source: RNAcentral